Molecule: long non-coding RNA, 3207 nt
Filed under: Sus scrofa (pig)
Lineage: Eukaryota; Metazoa; Chordata; Mammalia; Artiodactyla; Suidae
Description: lncRNA (ENSSSCG00000053777.1)
Source: RNAcentral
AGAGACUGAGAAUUCACGAGCAAGGUAACAGCAGAUUUGGAGCCCGUUAAAGCUUGCCCCUUAAUCACAGAAGUCCGUCUUCUCAUUGUUCUCAUGUGGCAGAUGGGGCCAAGGAGCUCCCUGGGGGUAUCUUUUUUCAGGGCACUAGUCCCAUCCAGAAGCUCCAUCCUUGGUACCCAAACCUGCCCCAAAGGCCCAACCUCUAACUAUCACACUGGGAGUUAGGUUUCAACAUAUGAAAGUUGAGAGGACACAAACAUUCAAUCUGUGGCAGAUUAGAGUGCAAAAAGCCAGAGAGUAAAGUCAAUAAAGCAUGUUAGAAUUAUUUUGCUACUGAAAGAUUCAAAUUAACUCUGGGUUUGUAAACACCCUCCCAUUUUUUACUACACCAUUAAUUUUUCUUAAUGAACUAAGCUCCCAAAGAGAUAUUUUAUGGAGGGAGAAGAGUUCCAAAUGUAUUUCAUACCAUUUGUAAUAGUUUGAUACCUAUAUUAAACUUUCCUUUUGAUAAUUUUGUAAUGAAAUUUACAAUUUCCCAUUUACUAUUUACAAAUGUGCUGGGUUUUUUCUCUUUUAUCAGAAGAUGCCUAAACUGUGGUUGAUAUAUGUUAGUACUAAGUCUCUCUCAAGAAAACAUAUUUGACAUAAUGAUAUGCCCCAGAAUGUCUCUGGAGAAAUAUAGUAAGACGAAUGAGUUUUGGCCUACCAAUUCCUUUUUUUCAGUAUAAGCCUUUAUUUCCAGGUAGUCAAAGGAAUCAUCCCUCUGGGAAAAUAAAGACACACAAUAAUGCUGGAAAGAAUCAGAGGAUUUUAGAGGUGAAAAGACCUCUAAAAGAAAUGGUUUAGUCCCAAGUCCUCAUUUUGCAGAUGAGGAAAUUGAGGCCAACUUAAAGUUGCAUGGCUGGUUUAAUGGUAUUGCCAGAAUUAGAAAUACCAUCUUCUGGUUCUCAGUCCAGUGCUCUCUUUAUUACACUGUGUGGUGGCCCACUUCGUGACACCUUUGAAAGAGGGUUUUCAUAAAGCAUCUACGCAUGACUCCACAGCAUCUUUAACAGAAAUACUUUCCCUGCAGAAAAAUGCCUGCCGAGGAUUCUGCUACUAAGAGCUCCCGCUGGGCAAAGGGUCCCUAGCAAGCACAUCGUGCAAACUGUAAUGAGCUCUACGAUGUCUCCAUUCUCUGGAGAUAUGGAGGCUUCACAAUGUAGACUUUUCAUUUCUUUUCUAAUGAAGGUUUAAGCAAGCAUCUCAGUUGUCAAACCUUCUGUACCAUGUCCCAUGAGACAGAGAAUAUUGCCUCUUAUGAUGCUAUGUUUUAGGGCAACAGAGCGGGGGUUGGGAGGCUUUCAAGAGAGUUGGCCUCAUCUGUGUAGACAUUAUUUUUAUCUUUUUCCUUUUAGAAAUCGGCAUGAUCUCUCUGGCCCUUUCUGUGUCUGAGCAAUUGAGCAAGGCCUCAAUGUAAAAGCUACAUCCAUAGAAAUAGUGCAAAAUGUCACUGAGAUGCCACCCCCAGACGUCAUUCAAUUUCUGAAACAGAUAUUCCCCGUCCUGUGCUCCAGCAGCUGCAAUAGGCGUUGUUUCCUCAUGUUAUCAGUUUUGCUAGAUGAACACUAUCUAUUGAAUGUUACAGAAAAUGGAUUCCUGGCGAAUUUGUAAAUUCAAGGGGGAAAAAAAAAAAAAAACAGCUAUCAAAAGAAAUGUAAUGCCAUAAAAAAAAAGCAUGUUUAGGAGAUUAAAAUGAGGUCUCUUGACUUCUGUCCAAUGACCACUCAUCUCUGGAUUGGAUCACAGACUCUUAUAUUUAAAUCGCUUUGUCUGAAAAGUCCCAUCAUCCUGAAAAGUCACCAUGGCAACAAAUCAAUGGCAAUGAAAAUCAUUUCAUUACAUAUUCUUUUUUAACAUCUAUAGCUUACUAAGGUGUGUUUGGGGAACAUAAUUCAUUAUCUAGGAAAUUUUCUAAUGUUUUUUAUUCAUGUUUCACUAUUAUUGCUUUCUUAGUAACUACAUAUAUUUUCUCCAAUGCUGAGUCCUAAAACUAUUACAAAGCACAUUCCCCCUUUUUAUACUCCCUUGUGUAACAGAGAAACAAGAGUGGUUUUUAUUCACAUCAAAUGUCAUUGAUUUUUAAUUUUUUUCUUUAAGUUGAAUGCCUAGAAUAUAUGUACACAAUUUACAACCUUGAUUUCAUAUCCUUUAUUUAAAAAUACACAGAUUUUCCAUGCUGAGAGCAUAAGCCUAUUUUAAAAACUAAACACUUUAAUUUUGUUAACCCCCAAAUUUUUACAGUAAUGGAAAACCAUAAGAGUGUUUUUAAUCAUACUCACACUGGGAAACUAAUUUUGUAGGACAAUGGUCUCCUUCUAGUUAAUAAACCUCUCUUUUUAUCCAUACCUACAAUGUUUAAUAGACUACACAACUCCAACCAUCUUCCAUUAUUACAGUAGUGACACGAAACUGGUGGCAAUGGCUUGAUUCUUGGUCAAUUCAUGGUACAUUUUGAAGUGUCUGUGUGUAUGAUCACUGACUAGUUUCUAUAACCAGAUUAAGGCAUUAGUCAGAUGGGAUAAUCCUUUAAACUCUUCUGCUGCUGCUUUAAUAGUACUUCACAGAUUUCCAAAUAUUUUUAAAUGUUCUAUUUGAUCUACUUGAUCAGGCAAAUAAAUGUUGCCUAUUUUCCCAGGUAAGCAAAAAAUAUAAAGGAAGCUUUAAAAUACAAACAAACAAACAAAAACAUGAAUGUGUGAUAAAAGCCUGAGUCAGUCACUAGGGGAUACAUUGACCCAAAUGAAUUACCCGUAAGAAUGAGUAAAACUACUUUUCUUGCCAAAGGAAAGGAAUUGGAUUGGGCAAGUCAAAGCAGUCACUUUAGUUAAAACCAGAAUACUUAAAUGUAGCAGGUUUCAAAAGGAUAAAUAAAAUCAGGAUAGAAAAAUUAGAGAAUGGAGAGAGCCGACUCUGAUAAGGAAGAGAUGCCUUGGACUUCCUGUCGUGGCGAAUCUGACUAGGAACCAUGAGGUUGCGGGUUCGAUCCCCAGCCUUGCUCAGUGGGUUAAGAUCUGGUGUUGCCAUGAGCUGUGGUGUAGGUUGCAGAUGCAGCUCAGAUCCCGAGUUGCUGUGGCUCUGGUGUAGGCCAGCGGCUACAGCUCCGAUUGGACCCCUAGCCUGGGAACCUCCAUAUGCCGGGGGUGCGGCCCAAGAAAUGGCAAAAAG